RNAcentral lists this RNase P RNA (410 nucleotides) under Candidatus Altimarinota bacterium. Its description in RNAcentral is "Candidatus Gracilibacteria bacterium RNase P RNA component class A". It matches the Rfam family "Bacterial RNase P class A". Rfam says of the family: Ribonuclease P (RNase P) is a ubiquitous endoribonuclease, found in archaea, bacteria and eukarya as well as chloroplasts and mitochondria. Its best characterised activity is the generation of mature 5'-ends of tRNAs by cleaving the 5'-leader elements of precursor-tRNAs. Cellular RNase Ps are ribonucleoproteins. The record is from RNAcentral. Lineage: Bacteria; Candidatus Altimarinota.
UAAUGAGAGAAGACAUCUACUGUCCCUUUUAGGGAGAGAGGAAAGUCUGGACACCAUGAGAACAAACAUAGUAGAUAACAACUACGGACUAAAUAUAAUAAAUAAAAUUUAGUUACAGCAAGUGCCAUAGAGACUAUACUACCCUUAGGGGGAAAUGUGAAAAGUCAUUUGGUGUUUAUUAUGUUAAUUUCAUAACUUGUUUUUGAGUAAAUAUAAUAAGCUACGAAUGAAGAUUUGUGUAAAAAUAAAUCUUGGUAAACCUUAUGUGGUGCAAUGGGAAUGGUAUUUUUUAGAGAUUAGUGUUCUCUAUUGUCUCUAAAAAAUAUACUCAGCUUGAGAUUAUAAGUGAUUAUAAUCCUAGAUAGAUUGAUGUUUAGAUACAGAAUCCGGCUUAUUACUCUCAUUAUUUA